UACGAAGGGGGCUAGCGUUGUUCGGAAUCACUGGGCGUAAAGCGCACGUAGGCGGAUUUUUAAGUCAGGGGUGAAAUCCCGAGGCUCAACCUCGGAACUGCCUUUGAUACUGGGGAUCUGGAGUCCGGGAGAGGUGAGCGGAACUGCGAGUGUAGAGGUGAAAUUCGUAGAUAUUCGGAAGAACACCAGUGGCGAAGGCGACUUACUGGACACAUAUUGACGCUGAGGUGCGAAAGCGUGGGGAGCAAACAGG
This 253-nucleotide ribosomal RNA is filed under the name uncultured bacterium. Its description in RNAcentral is "partial 16S ribosomal RNA". It matches the Rfam family "Bacterial small subunit ribosomal RNA", at positions 524 to 776 of the family's 1533-position model. The record is from RNAcentral.